UAGUCCACGCCGUAAACGAUGUCAACUAGCCGUUGGGUCCAUUUAAGGGCUGAGUGGCGAAGCUAACGCGAUAAGUUGACCGCCUGGGGAGUACGCCGGCAACGGUAAAACUCAAAGGAAUUGACGGGGCCCGCACAAGCGGUGGAGCAUGUGGUUUAAUUCGAUGCAACGCGAAAAACCUUACCUACCCUUGACAUCCUCGGAACUUGUCAGAGAUGACUCGGUGCCUUCGGGAACCGAUGGACAGGUGCUGCAUGGCUGUCGUCAGCUCGUGUCGUGAGAUGUUGGGUUAAGUCCCGCAACGAGCGCAACCCUUGUCCCUAGUUGCCAGCACAUUAUGGUGGGAACUCUAGGGAGACUGCCGGUGACAAACCGGAGGAAGGUGGGGAUGGACGUCAAGUCAUCAUGGGCCCUUACGGGGUAGGGGCUACACACGUGCUACAAUGGGUCGGUACAGAGGGGUUGCGGAAGCCGG
This 475-nucleotide ribosomal RNA is filed under the name uncultured bacterium. Its description in RNAcentral is "bacterial SSU rRNA". It matches the Rfam family "Bacterial small subunit ribosomal RNA", at positions 791 to 1266 of the family's 1533-position model. The record is from RNAcentral.